GUCAGCUCGUGUCGUGAGAUGUUGGGUUAAGUCCCGCAACGAGCGCAACCCUUGCCUUUAGUUGCCAGCAGUUCGGCUGGGCACUCUAAAGGGACUGCCGGUGUUAAACCGGAGGAAGGUGGGGAUGACGUCAAGUCCUCAUGGCCUUUAUGACCAGGGCUACACACGUACUACAAUGGCCGAUACAAAGGGCAGCGACACUGCGAGGUGAAGCCAAUCCCGUAAAAUCGGUCUCAGUCCGGAUUGGAGUCUGCAACUCGACUCCAUGAAGUUGGAAUCGCUAGUAAUCGUGGAUCAGCAUGCCACGGUGAAUACGUUCCCGGGCCUU
Molecule: ribosomal RNA, 328 nt
Filed under: uncultured Desulfobulbus sp.
Lineage: Bacteria; Pseudomonadati; Thermodesulfobacteriota; Desulfobulbia; Desulfobulbales; Desulfobulbaceae
Description: bacterial SSU rRNA
Rfam family: Bacterial small subunit ribosomal RNA
Source: RNAcentral